AAUAGAUACCCGGGUAGUCCACGCCGUAAACGAUGAGUGCUAAGUGUUAGAGGGUUUCCGCCCUUUAGUGCUGCAGCUAACGCAUUAAGCACUCCGCCUGGGGAGUACGGCCGCAAGGCUGAAACUCAAAGGAAUUGACGGGGGCCCGCACAAGCGGUGGAGCAUGUGGUUUAAUUCGAAGCAACGCGAAGAACCUUACCAGGUCUUGACAUCCUCUGCCAACCCUAGAGAUAGGGCGUUCCCCUUCGGGGGACAGAGUGACAGGUGGUGCAUGGUUGUCGUCAGCUCGUGUCGUGAGAUGUUGGGUUAAGUCCCGCAACGAGCGCAACCCUUGAUCUUAGUUGCCAGCAUUCAGUUGGGCACUCUAAGGUGACUGCCGGUGACAAACCGGAGGAAGGUGGGGAUGACGUCAAAUCAUCAUGCCCCUUAUGACCUGGGCUACACACGUGCUACAAUGGAUGGUACAAAGAGCUGCGAACCCGCGAGGGUAGCGAAUCUCAUAAAGCCAUUCUCAGUUCGGAUUGUAGG
This 528-nucleotide ribosomal RNA is filed under the name uncultured bacterium. RNAcentral describes it as "bacterial SSU rRNA". It matches the Rfam family "Bacterial small subunit ribosomal RNA", at positions 777 to 1304 of the family's 1533-position model. The record is from RNAcentral.